Humulus lupulus (European hop) is the source of this 599-nucleotide long non-coding RNA. RefSeq lists it as uncharacterized. The record is from RefSeq and is a predicted model, not a curated record. Lineage: Eukaryota; Viridiplantae; Streptophyta; Magnoliopsida; Rosales; Cannabaceae. The transcript is spliced from 4 exons.
GUUGUCUAUGUAGGUUCAAGGUCACCUCAUGAGAAAUCACAUAGCAUGGAAGGUGUAAGGUUCUACUACCUCUAAUUGUAACUUUGAUUGGGUAUUAGCACAUAUCUUGGAGCAGCUCCCAUUGUUGAAUGUUUGGAAAAGCACCAACCUAAUGUAGUAAUAACUUCUCAUGUUGCAGAUGCUGCCUUAUUUUUGGUGCCAAUGAUAUAUGAACUGGGUUGGAACUGGGACAAUUUAGAACUUCUAGCACAGGGCAGAAACUUCAUGUUAUGAUAAAUGGCAGUGUUUCUGCCAGUUUAGUCAUGGUGCAUUUGAUUGAGAAAUUAGCUGCUGGUGAUACUGGAAGUUUAUCUGUAUCAAUACUUCACAAGAUGAGCACCAUGUCUAAAAAGGUUUGCUGCUUCCCUUUUAAGAUUGGUAUAGUUAGUUUAGAUAAAUAGUUUAGGCAUGUUGUCCUAAAUUAAUUGGGAAGUAUUGAGCUCUUUGAGGGCUCAUUUUAACUAAAAUCUUAACUGGAACUUGUUCACUUUCUUUCAGUUUUUCAUAAAUUUUAGGUAGCAUAAUAUCUCUGUUUUUUUUUAAUUCCAUUUGCAGCUUAA